RNAcentral lists this unclassified non-coding RNA (140 nucleotides) under uncultured Oidiodendron. Its description in RNAcentral is "sequence contains ITS2". The record is from RNAcentral. Lineage: Eukaryota; Fungi; Ascomycota; Leotiomycetes; Myxotrichaceae.
CAACCCUCAAGCCCGGCUUGGUGUUGGGCCCUGCCCGUGGUGGCUGGCCCUAAAGACAGUGGCGGUGCCGCCUGGCCCUCAGCGUAGUACAACUCUCGCUCCAGGGUCCGGUGGUGGCCUGUCAGAACCCCCAACUCUGU